AUUUAUAUAGUUUAAAAUAAAACACUUCAUUUUCAAUGAAAAAAUAAAUUAUUUAAUUUUAUAAAUU
RNAcentral lists this transfer RNA (67 nucleotides) under Stephanitis mendica. Its description in RNAcentral is "tRNA-Glu". Lineage: Eukaryota; Metazoa; Arthropoda; Insecta; Hemiptera; Tingidae. The record is from RNAcentral.